Non-coding RNA from Acanthosepion pharaonis, 105 nucleotides. NCBI's taxonomy places the organism in Eukaryota, Metazoa, Mollusca, Cephalopoda, Sepiida, Sepiidae. The record is from the annotation of a GenBank genome assembly.
CUUGCGGCCAUAUCGCGUUAAAACAACGGUUUCCGUAAGAUCGCCGGAGUUAAGCAAUGUCGGGUCUGGUCAGUACUUAAAUGAGUAACCGUUUGGGAAUACCAG